Molecule: long non-coding RNA, 280 nt
Organism: Vidua macroura (Pin-tailed whydah)
Lineage: Eukaryota; Metazoa; Chordata; Aves; Passeriformes; Viduidae
Exons: 4
Source: RefSeq, a predicted model, not a curated record
UUUCUGCACUUGUACCCGCCUGCAGAAUCUGCAUGGCUGGCGUUUCAGAUGAAGCUGGCUUGGCUGCAUUUUGGAUGGUGAUUUAAAGUGCUUCAUUGCCACUGAGUCAUCGCUGUGCUUAGACGAAUCGAUUAUGACUGCAUCAGGAUCCUCCUGGGGUGAAAAAAAUCUGAUGAAUACCUCAGAGUAGUGCCUGACAGAUCUGCAUGGGGAGAACACAUGUGAAUAAAGAGAAGAGGAAAUUACGUGCAAGGCUGAACAGCUUUCAGAGAAGCAACAU